CUGAAGCAUUGUCUCCUCUCUCCCUAGGACCUGGCCAACCUGGCACCUGGGAAACCUGACUGGGAUCUGAAGAGAGAUGUGGCUAAGAAGCUGGAGAAGCUAGAGAAGCAGACCCAGAGUGCCAUUGCAGAGAUGAUCUGUGAACGGCUGAAAGGCCAGGAGGACAGCCUGGCCUCUGCAGUGGCUGCCAACAUUGAACCAGAGGCCUGUGACUCCGACUGACAUGUUUUCCUAUUUCAUCUCUUCAGCACAGACAUCUCCUCUGAUGUAAAUUGUGCUUUUUAACUUCUAUAAAUAAAGCUUUCUUUAAUAGA
Long non-coding RNA from Arvicanthis niloticus (Nile rat), 314 nucleotides. RefSeq lists it as uncharacterized. The record is from RefSeq and is a predicted model, not a curated record. Lineage: Eukaryota; Metazoa; Chordata; Mammalia; Rodentia; Muridae.